This 422-nucleotide ribosomal RNA is filed under the name uncultured bacterium. Its description in RNAcentral is "bacterial SSU rRNA". It matches the Rfam family "Bacterial small subunit ribosomal RNA", at positions 355 to 774 of the family's 1533-position model. The record is from RNAcentral.
UAAGGAAUAUUGGACAAUGGAGGCAACUCUGAUCCAGCCAUGCCGCGUGAAGGAAUAAGGCCCUAUGGGCUGUAAACUUCUUUUAGACGGGACAAAACCCCUUUACGUGUAAAGGGUUGAUGGUACUGUCAGAAUAAGCAUCGGCUAACUUCGUGCCAGCAGCCGCGGUAAUACGAAGGAUGCAAGCGUUAUCCGGAAUUAUUGGGUUUAAAGGGUGCGUAGGCGGACUAAUAAGUCAGUGGUGAAAGCCUGCAGCUUAACUGCAGAAUUGCCAUUGAUACUGUUAGUCUUGAGUACAGUUGAGGUAGGCGGAAUGUGUCAUGUAGCGGUGAAAUGCUUAGAUAUGACACAGAACACCGAUUGCGAAGGCAGCUUGCUAAGCUGUAACUGACGCUGAGGCACGAAAGCGUGGGGAGCAAACA